UACGGAGGAUCCGAGCGUUAUCCGGAUUUAUUGGGUUUAAAGGGUGCGCAGGCGGAAGAUUAAGUCGGCGGUGAAAUUUUGCAGCUCAACUGUAAAAGUGCCAUCGAUACUGGUUUUCUUGAGUGUGGAUGAAGUAGGCGGAAUUUGUGGUGUAGCGGUGAAAUGCAUAGAUAUCACGAGGAACUCCGAUUGCGCAGGCAGCUUACUAGGCCAUAACUGACGCUCAGGCACGAAGGCGUGGGGAGUCGAACAGGAUUAGAUA
This 262-nucleotide ribosomal RNA is filed under the name uncultured prokaryote. RNAcentral's name for it is "partial 16S ribosomal RNA". It matches the Rfam family "Bacterial small subunit ribosomal RNA", at positions 524 to 784 of the family's 1533-position model. The record is from RNAcentral.